GACGAACGCUGGCGGCGUGCCUAAUACAUGCAAGUCGAGCGGACCAAAGGGAGCUUGCUCCUGGAGGUCAGCGGCGAACGGGUGAGUAACACGUGGGCAACCUGCCUGUAAGACUGGGAUAACAUCGAGAAAUCGGUGCUAAUACCGGAUAAUAAAAAGAACUGCAUGGUUCUUUUUUGAAAGAUGGUUUCGGCUAUCACUUACAGAUGGGCCCGCGGCGCAUUAGCUAGUUGGUGAGGUAACGGCUCACCAAGGCAACGAUGCGUAGCCGACCUGAGAGGGUGAUCGGCCACACUGGGACUGAGACACGGCCCAGACUCCUACGGGAGGCAGCAGUAGGGAAUCUUCCGCAAUGGACGAAAGUCUGACGGAGCAACGCCGCGUGAGUGAUGAAGGUUUUCGGAUCGUAAAACUCUGUUGUUAGGGAAGAACAAGUGCCGUUCGAAAGGGCGGCACCUUGACGGUACCUAACGAGAAAGCCACGGCUAACUACGUGCCAGCA
This 502-nucleotide ribosomal RNA is filed under the name uncultured bacterium. Its description in RNAcentral is "bacterial SSU rRNA". It matches the Rfam family "Bacterial small subunit ribosomal RNA", at positions 28 to 513 of the family's 1533-position model. The record is from RNAcentral.